RNAcentral lists this ribosomal RNA (462 nucleotides) under uncultured bacterium. RNAcentral's name for it is "partial 16S ribosomal RNA". It matches the Rfam family "Bacterial small subunit ribosomal RNA", at positions 28 to 507 of the family's 1533-position model. The record is from RNAcentral.
GACGAACGCUGGCGGCGUGCUUAACACAUGCAAGUCGAACGGAAAGGCCCUUCGGGGUCCUCGAGUGGCGAACGGGUGAGUAACACGUGGGUGAUCUGCCCUGCACUUUGGGAUAAGCCUGGGAAACUGGGUCUAAUACCGAAUAGGACCACGCGCUUCAUGGUGUGUGGUGGAAAGCUUUUGCGGUGUGGGAUGGGCCCGCGGCCUAUCAGCUUGUUGGUGGGGUAAUGGCCUACCAAGGCGACGACGGGUAGCCGGCCUGAGAGGGUGACCGGCCACACUGGGACUGAGAUACGGCCCAGACUCCUACGGGAGGCAGCAGUGGGGAAUAUUGCGCAAUGGGCGCAAGCCUGAUGCAGCGACGCCGCGUGAGGGAUGACGGCCUUCGGGUUGUAAACCUCUUUCAAUAGGGACGAAGCGCAAGUGACGGUACCUAUAGAAGAAGCACCGGCAAACUACGUG